Molecule: long non-coding RNA, 1202 nt
Organism: Magnolia sinica
Lineage: Eukaryota; Viridiplantae; Streptophyta; Magnoliopsida; Magnoliales; Magnoliaceae
Exons: 3
Source: RefSeq, a predicted model, not a curated record
AGUGAGUCAAGGCUUCGACCAUCUAAUUGUUGUGAGUUUUAAUCCAUUGUUCUAUGUUGUAGCCCUUCUGGUUUAAUAUUUUGCACUAGUUGAUCCUUAUGGUGAGGCCAACCCAUUGGAAGGGUUGAAUUUCGCAUUCAAUUAGGCCGAAUUGAGUUGGGUUCAGGCUGGGCACCUUGGGUUAGAAUUCUGGUCGGGUCAGGUUGCGGAUUGGAUCCUUUCAAGUAUGAAUGGGCCCAGCUUGCGUUCGACCCAACUCAAUCCGCCCGAAUUGCACCCUAAUGUAGCAUCAUGCUCAUAUGAUUUAAUUAAAAAGGAAUUUUUUUCUUCAACUUCUUUAUCCAAACUGUUUCUUAUUCCAAUAUGUCAUGAACUUCUUGUAGCUUAUUUGGAUUCAUCUUUCUACAUAAUUUUAUCUACUCUGCAAUAUCUACUUCCAGAGGCUCUAUCAUGUCAGCUAUCCAUUUGUAUUUGUAAGCAAGGGACUGAAUUUUCUUAGAGAGAAGUCUUCCUUCUUAGCACAACUCUUGUAGUAUUUGCACUGGCUGGUGGUAUCCUGGCUAACAUGGACUGUUAUGAUAUAUGCAAGCUCUGCUGUGAAUCUAGGAAACUGUCAGAAACUGCCACUACUAUAUCACGAGCAUGCACCUAUACAGGAAGGAGAUCUAGUCCACACUUGGGUGGAUGGAAAAUUUAUCCUUGUUUACACCAUAUGUGAGGUAUAUGAUGAUGUGCAGAUCAUUUUUAAUAACUACGAUUGUCCAAUCACCUAAAAUCUAGUCCCAUGAUCAGUUCAUGAUUGUCCACGAUGUAAGAACGGUUUGGAUUAUCAUAUGAAUACGCUACAUGAGGAAUGUAAUGGCAUUAUAUAUUCAUGUGAUUCUUGAUCCAUGGAAGGUGCUAAGUGUUGGAAACUUGCCUGAAGUGUAGCUUCUAUCUGCUAUUCUAUGGGUGGUUUUGUUGCCAGAGCUGCAGUUGUCCACCCACAUUUAAGGAAGUCAGCAGUUGAGACUGUUCUCACUCUUUCAAGUUGACACCAUGUUACCUCCUAUGGCAUUGUGGUCGUCUUUGGGUCAUUUCUUUUCACAAGUCAAUAGAGAAUGGGAAAAGGGUUAUGAGGUCCAGAGAACUCAGAGAGGCAAGGUGUCAGAUCCUACACUCUCUAUUUUUGUUGUCAUCUCCGUUUCUGUUGGUAUCUGUGA